GACAGAGGUGGCAAGCGUUGUCCGGAAUUACUGGGCGUAAAGCGCGCGUAGGUGGCUAGAUAAGUCCGGUGUGAAAUCCUUCGGCUUAACCGGGGAAUGGCAUCGGGGACUGUUUAGCUAGAGGACGGGAGAGGAGAGCGGAAUUCCCGGUGUAGCGGUGAAAUGCGUAGAGAUCGGAAGGAACACCAGUGGCGAAGGCGGCUACCUGGACAGAUACUGACGCUGAGGCGCGAGAGCGUGGGGAGCAAACAGG
This 253-nucleotide ribosomal RNA is filed under the name uncultured prokaryote. Its description in RNAcentral is "partial 16S ribosomal RNA". It matches the Rfam family "Bacterial small subunit ribosomal RNA", at positions 524 to 776 of the family's 1533-position model. The record is from RNAcentral.